UACGUAGGGUGCGAGCGUUGUCCGGAAUUACUGGGCGUAAAGAGCUCGUACGUGGUUUGUCACGUCGUCUGUGAAAUUCCGGGGCUUAACCUCGGGCGUGCAGGCGAUACGGGCAAUACUUGAGUGCUGUAGGGGAGACUGGAAUUCCUGGUGUAGCGGUGAAAUGCGCAGAUAUCAGGAGGAACACCGAUGGCGAAGGCAGGUCUCUGGGCAAUUACUGACGCUGAGGAGCGAAAGCAUGGGUAGCGAACAGGAUUAGA
This 260-nucleotide ribosomal RNA is filed under the name uncultured prokaryote. Its description in RNAcentral is "partial 16S ribosomal RNA". It matches the Rfam family "Bacterial small subunit ribosomal RNA", at positions 524 to 782 of the family's 1533-position model. The record is from RNAcentral.